Molecule: ribosomal RNA, 468 nt
Filed under: uncultured bacterium
Lineage: Bacteria
Description: partial 16S ribosomal RNA
Rfam family: Bacterial small subunit ribosomal RNA
Source: RNAcentral
GACGAACGCUGGCGGCGUGCUUAACACAUGCAAGUCGAACGGAAAGGCCCUGCUUUUGUGGGGUGCUCGAGUGGCGAACGGGUGAGUAACUCGUGAGUAACCUGCCCUUGACUUUGGGAUAACUUCAGGAAACUGGGGCUAAUACCGGAUAGGAGCUCCUGCUGCAUGGUGGGGGUUGGAAAGUUUCGGCGGUUGGGGAUGGACUCGCGGCUUAUCAGCUUGUUGGUGGGGUAGUGGCUUACCAAGGCUUUGACGGGUAGCCGGCCUGAGAGGGUGACCGGCCACAUUGGGACUGAGAUACGGCCCAGACUCCUACGGGAGGCAGCAGUGGGGAAUAUUGCACAAUGGGCAGAAGCCUGAUGCAGCAACGCCGCGUGCGGGAUGACGGCCUUCGGGUUGUAUACCGCUUUCGCCUGUGACGAAGCGUGAGUGACGGUAAUGGGUAAAGAAGCACCGGCUAACUACGUG